AGUGGCGAACGGGUGAGUAAGACGUAGGUGACCUGCCCUCAGGUGGGGGAUAACUGCUCGAAAGAGCAGCUAAUACCCCGGAGGUCAGCCGGGUUAGAGGCGGUUGACUAAAGCUGAGGCGACUGGGGAGGGGCCUGCGGGCUAUCAGCUAGUUGGUGGGGUAAGGGCCUACCAAGGCGAGGACGGCUAGGGGGCGUGAGAGCGUGACCCCCCACAAUGGAACUGAGAGACGGUCCAUACUCCUACGGGAGGCAGCAGUGAGGAAUAUUGCCCAAUGGGGGAAACCCUGAGGCAGCAACGCCGCGUGGACGAAGACGGCCUUCGGGUUGUAAAGUCCUUUUCUGAGGGACGAUUUGGACGGUACCUCAGGAAUAAGUUCCGGCUAACUACGUGCCAGCAGCCGCGGUAAAACGUAGGGGACAAGCGUUAUCCGGAUUUACUGGGCGUAAAGAGCCCGUAGGCGGUCAGCUAAGUUGGACGUGAAAGCUCCCGGCUUAACUGGGAGAGGUCGGACAAAACUGGUUGACUUGAGGCUGAGAGAGGCGAGCGGAAUUCCCGGUGUAGUGGUGGAAUGCGUAGAUAUCGGGAGGAACACCAGUGGCGAAGGCGGCUCGCUGGCUCAGACCUGACGCUGAGGGGCGAAAGCGUGGGGAGCGAACGGGAUUAGAUACCCCGGUAGUCCACGCUGUAAACGAUGGAUACCAGG
This 706-nucleotide ribosomal RNA is filed under the name uncultured bacterium. RNAcentral describes it as "bacterial SSU rRNA". It matches the Rfam family "Bacterial small subunit ribosomal RNA", at positions 94 to 820 of the family's 1533-position model. The record is from RNAcentral.